Molecule: long non-coding RNA, 282 nt
Filed under: Bos taurus (domestic cattle)
Lineage: Eukaryota; Metazoa; Chordata; Mammalia; Artiodactyla; Bovidae
Description: long non-coding RNA NONBTAT025536
Source: RNAcentral
GUGACCUCAACUGACUUCUCAAUUGCUUUCUACUUAUUCAGGAAGCAGGAAAUGACCUGAAAGGUGAAUAUAAAGAAGAGAGAAUGAAUCAUAGGAAAAAAAUUUAAUCUAAUGUACUUUAAAACCAAUUAUAUUUUUAAUACCACCUAUCCUCACUGGGCCCUCAAGAGGCAUACACAUAUUGCGGGAGCUGUCAUUAGGAUUUCAGGAAUGAUUUUAAAUCUUUCUGUGGCAAAUAUUUCCAACCUUUUGUAAAUUUAAUUAUCAAGUUAUCAAGCACCC